UGAGGCCAAAUUUGACAGGACAAGUAUGACAAUAGCAAGAACUGCCAUCCCAGAAGCAUCAUCUACUUUUGCAUGAGGCUCCAUUAAGUCCCACAGAGCACUUGGAAUUCCAGUUUUGUUAAAGCCAUCAACAGUGAUAAACAUUCCACAAAAGAAAAUUAAAAGCGAAUAGGAGACCUUUUCAAGGCAUGGCCGAGCAUCC
RNAcentral lists this unclassified non-coding RNA (202 nucleotides) under Hevea brasiliensis (rubber tree). The record is from RNAcentral. Lineage: Eukaryota; Viridiplantae; Streptophyta; Magnoliopsida; Malpighiales; Euphorbiaceae.